Molecule: ribosomal RNA, 437 nt
Filed under: Thraulus sp. 2 BCOD-2008
Lineage: Eukaryota; Metazoa; Arthropoda; Insecta; Ephemeroptera; Leptophlebiidae
Description: eukaryotic LSU rRNA
Source: RNAcentral
ACCCGCUGGGUGUCUGCCUGAGGCCCGGGUGCGAGCCCGGACCGCGGUUCGCCGCGGCCCGGAGCCCCGGCCUCGCCCGGCAGACCGCCCGGCGGUCUCGAAGUAUCGGAACUGGCCCGCGCUCUCCCGGCGCGCUCGUGCCGCUUGCGAGCGUCCGACGGGUCCCCGGUAGGCGAACCCCGUUCGCCCCGGGUCCGUCGGCGCUGUCGGCUCGCGGACUUCUCGAGCAGACGGCCUCCUUCCGGUCUGCGGCGCUCGCAGUUGGGCGGCCCACCCGACCCGUCUUGAAACACGGACCAAGGAGUCUAACACGCGCGCGAGUCAUUGGGUCCGGCGAAACCCAAGGGCGCAUUGAAAGAGAAGGCGGGCCUUCGUGCCCGCCGAGGGAGGAUGGGGCGGCGCUCGCGUCGCCCCCGCACUCCCGGGGCGUCUCGUCC